This 704-nucleotide long non-coding RNA is filed under the name Monodelphis domestica (gray short-tailed opossum). RNAcentral describes it as "lncRNA (ENSMODG00000029302.2)". The record is from RNAcentral. Lineage: Eukaryota; Metazoa; Chordata; Mammalia; Didelphimorphia; Didelphidae.
AUAUUUUAAAUAUAAAUAUUUCUAUAUAAAGGAAAGGAAAGGUAGAAUGAGAAGGAAAAGGAAAGAAAGAAAAAAUAAACAAAGAAACAAAAAGAGAGAGAAAGAAAAAGGAAGGAAGGAAGGAAGGAAGGAAGGAAGGAAGGAAGGAAGGAAGGAAGGAAGGAAGGAAGGAAGGAGGGAGGAAAGAAAGAAAGAAAGAAAGAAAGAAAGAAAGAAAGAAAGAAAGAAAGAAAGAAAGAAAGAAAGAAAGAAAGAAAGAAAGAAAGAAAGAAAGAAAGAAAGAAAGAAAGAAAGAAAGAAAGAAAGAAAGAAAGAAAGAAAGAAAGAAAGAAAGAAAGGAAGAAAGAAAGAAAGAAAGGAAGGAAGGAAGGAAGGAAGGAAGGAAGGAAGGAAGGAAGGAAGGAAGGAAGGAAGGAAGGAAGGAAGGAAGGAAGGAAGGAAGGAAGGAAGGAAGAGUGCAAAAUAGCGGCUCAAGAGCUGGCUGUGGAUUUGGGAAGUCCCAAGUGGAAGUUGUGUCUCUGAGACAUGAUGGCCUGAUGGCCAUGGGACAGGAGCAAGUAAUUUAGCAUCUCAGUGCCCAAGGCAGCCCUCUAAGACCUAGCCCUAGCCACAUAAGACAGAUGUAGGCUAAAAAAAAAGUCGCUGAUGUACACCACUGCAGGGAGUUUCCACACACGGGUAGCUCCACAAAUGAUGAAAUCAUA